RNAcentral lists this long non-coding RNA (3031 nucleotides) under Marmota monax (woodchuck). The record is from RNAcentral. Lineage: Eukaryota; Metazoa; Chordata; Mammalia; Rodentia; Sciuridae.
GUUGAUAGUAUGGGAUGUUGAUAAAUGAUACUUUUUUAAGGUGUCACUUCUAAGACUCAUUUUCGUUGUCAACAUAGAGAUUUGGAAUAAAACUUGCUUAUGAAAUUUAUAUUAUUACAAAACUGGAUCCUAAAUUAGAUGAUGGCUAACGGCAAAGUCAGGACCUUUGGUACUAAGAUCAGAAUUUUUUAUUGUUGUGGUUGAAAAUUUGAUCCUCACAAUAGCUUUUUGACAGCUGGGUGCAGUGGUUCAUGCCUGAAAUGCCAGCCUCUUGGGAGGUUGAGGCAAUAGGAUCACAAGUUCAAAGCCUUAGCAACUUAGUGAGAGGCCCUAAGCAACUUAGUAAGACCCUAUCUCAAAAUUAAAAAAAAUAAAAAGAGCUGGGGGUGUGGCUCAAUGGUAAAAUGCCCCUGGGUUCAAUUCUUGGUACAAAAAAAAAAAAAAAGACCUGGAAUAGUAGCUCAGAAAGAGAUUGCCUGCCUAGCAUGAGUUGGGAGGCCCUGGGUUCAAUCCCCAGUACCAUCUAUAAGAAAAAAAUAGAAGUUAAAAAGAUAAAAACAAUAGUUUUAUUUUUAAAUUUUUUGGUGUUUGUUCAUUUUAGGUGAAUACUACAGUAGAGUAUAUUUUGACAUAUUAUAUGUACACAGAGUAUAACUUAUUCUAAUUACAAUCCCAUUCUUGCAGUUGUACCUGAUGUGCAGUUUAAAACAAUAGCUUGUGGACUUAGGAAAUAGAUAUGGGAAUUUAACAGUGUUUACUUCAAGAUUACCUAGAUAAUAUAUUUCUUCUCUAGAACUUUGACUUAAAAUCCUGUACUUUUCAUACUACUCCCAAGUUUCUUGCUCAAGGUGGGAACAUUUAAUGGGAAAAAAAAUGUAAGUAUAAAUAUCUAAGUCAGUAUAGAUUUAAUUUUACCCAUCAACAGUGCACUCAUGCUGCUUGAAAAGGAAAGUCAGUGCUAAUGAGUGCUAGUACAAAUGGGUGAUGUAGGCUUCUUCACUCACAUGUCUGUGUCCAGUCAGCAGUCAAAGACUUGGAAUAUCAAGGUCUAAGUAGGCUGGAUACUCAGGUGGUUGAGUCUACAGAGCAUAGAGCAUCUGAGAAUUUAAACUGGAACUUUGGAGGAGCAUGGCCAUACAGAGGGCAGGUUGUGAUUAGGUGGUCCAAAAAACAUCUGACAGCUAAUUGGAAUGCUUUCCUGCAGUAUGUAGCUUGGACUUCACAGGGUGGUGAAUUCAGUGCAAAAUAGGACUUUUUUUAUAUUUAUUUUUUAGUUGUAGUUGAACACAAUAUCUUUAUUUUAUUUAUUUAUUUUAUGUGGUGCUGAGGAUUGAACCCAGGGUCUCGCACUUGCUAGGCAAGCACUCUACCGCUGAGCCACACCCCCAGCCCUGCAAUAGGACUUUUUACAGAGCAGUUUAUAACUCCAAGAGCAAGUUUUCUAGCAUACAAUCUGAAAGAAACAUGGCCUUUAAACACUUACCUUUGUCACAUAGCAUCACUUCUACUAGAAUCUGGUGUUAGAGCAAUCACAAGCUUAUCAAAUUGAAGGAUAGGGAAUAGUGAUUCUUUUCUCUGCCCAACACCUCUUGAUGACAAGAGUUUCAGAGAAUCUGUGUCCAUGUUUCAAAACCACCGUAGCCUUAGAACAUUUGUAAUUGAAAUGUUGUUCUUCCAGAUAUUAUUUAACUUCACUGCUAAUUAUAUAAACGAAUGGUAAGAAUAGUAAUCAGUCCUGAGUUUGCUUUGACAUUUGGGGGAGAGGCAAAACCAUUGGGGUGUUAAUGGGAAGAAAAACUUGUUUCCCAUGUAUUUCACCCUGAGGAACAAAUUAAGAUUUCCAGGAACACUAGAAUCUGAGCAGAACAAAGAUUAAGUAAGUCCUAAUUGCUAAAAAUAAGUACAGUGUAUUAGAAGAAUUUUUCAUAAGCACAAUAAACAAUCACAUAACUGUCCAAUUCAUUUUUUUCAUUACAGUGUUAUAUUCUACAAGUUAUAUUCUAUCUCAGGAUAAAUCUUUUUAAGACAGAAGAUUAAUCAAAUGUUAUUUUACAUUACCCAAAUAAUAAUGUAAUUAUUACCCAUCUAUUUGUGCUUUACAAAAUUAUUUUUGAUAAUCUCAAACCUGAUCAAAUUUGGAUCCAGAGUUAUUAGGACACUUAAGUUAUACUUUACAACAUGAAUAUUAUAUUGGAAAAAUAUAGUGAAUGAAAUUUGUAGACUAGAAAAGUUUAUAAAGUUUGGUAAAUUUCUGUACUUGAACUAAAAUUUCCUUACUUGGGAAUAUUUUCCCUUUUCUGCUCACAUGCAAUUCAGUUUUAAGCAGUGUUAGAGUAUCUUUAAUACAUUUUAACACAUUUUCAGUGUUUUCAUGGAACAUGACUAGAUCUAGGAUAUAGAUCCUUUUGUUAUCUUGACAUUGAUUUCUUUACUUUUUUAUUUUUAUUUUUUAUUUUUGGUUGAACACAGCACCUUUAUUCCAUUCAUUUUUAAUUUUAUGUGGUUCUAAAGCUUGAAUCCAGGGCUCCAUGCAUGCUAGGUGAGCGCUCUACCGCUGAGCCACAGCCCCAGCCCCGACAUAUUGAUUUCUUGCAACUAAAAUUAGCAGGUUUUCUAGAAUGAAGACAUUCAAAGAUUAGUUAGUAGUAUCUCUUUCUAAGGCUUGUGCAUGUUAACUUUGACAUUUUAUAAAUUAUGAGUCUUUAUAAAGGUUUAUAAAAGCUAAUACUCUUAAAAGAGUCUUUAGGUGUGACAAAAUAGCUCAGUAGGCUAAUAAUAAUGCAAUACUGCAUGCUAAGAACAAAGCACUGUUCAUAAGAGCUUUGUAUUGAAUCUUCACAAGUUUAUGAGUAGCUAUUAUUAUCUGAACAUUAGAGAUGAGAAAUUUGAGGCUUAGAGAGGUUUAAAAACUUGCUCAAGGGCACUUAGUAAGUGGCAGAGCCUGGAUAUGAGUCUAAAUAAUCUGGCUCCAGAGUCUAUGCUCUUAACCUGUGCACUCUUUGAUUAGUUGUAAGAAGAAAAGAAAAAAAAA